This 806-nucleotide ribosomal RNA is filed under the name uncultured bacterium. RNAcentral's name for it is "bacterial SSU rRNA". It matches the Rfam family "Bacterial small subunit ribosomal RNA", at positions 8 to 809 of the family's 1533-position model. The record is from RNAcentral.
AGAGUUUGAUCCUGGCUCAGAUUGAACGCUGGCGGCAUGCCUUACACAUGCAAGUCGAACGGCAGCACGGACUUCGGUCUGGUGGCGAGUGGCGAACGGGUGAGUAAUACAUCGGAACGUGCCUAGUAGUGGGGGAUAACUACUCGAAAGAGUGGCUAAUACCGCAUGAGAUCUACGGAUGAAAGCAGGGGAUCGCAAGACCUUGUGCUACUAGAGCGGCCGAUGGCAGAUUAGGUAGUUGGUGGGAUAAAAGCUUACCAAGCCGACGAUCUGUAGCUGGUCUGAGAGGACGAUCAGCCACACUGGGACUGAGACACGGCCCAGACUCCUACGGGAGGCAGCAGUGGGGAAUUUUGGACAAUGGGCGCAAGCCUGAUCCAGCAAUGCCGCGUGCAGGAUGAAGGCCUUCGGGUUGUAAACUGCUUUUGUACGGAACGAAAAGCUUUGGGUUAAUACCCUGGAGUCAUGACGGUACCGUAAGAAUAAGCACCGGCUAACUACGUGCCAGCAGCCGCGGUAAUACGUAGGGUGCAAGCGUUAAUCGGAAUUACUGGGCGUAAAGCGUGCGCAGGCGGUUUUGUAAGACAGUGGUGAAAUCCCCGGGCUCAACCUGGGAACUGCCAUUGUGACUGCAAGGCUAGAGUACGGCAGAGGGGGAUGGAAUUCCGCGUGUAGCAGUGAAAUGCGUAGAUAUGCGGAGGAACACCGAUGGCGAAGGCAAUCCCCUGGGCCUGUACUGACGCUCAUGCACGAAAGCGUGGGGAGCAAACAGGAUUAGACACCCUGGUAGUCCACGCCCUAAACGA